CUUUGUUUUCUUUCUCAGCUCUUCCACAGGCCAGACCAGACCAGACAAAAAAAAAACGGAUCAAGGCUUGUUUAUAUCAAGUGCUUGCAAGGUGGCCAAGGACUUUUGAUGGGAACUGGGUGCACUGAAGAAAUGAAAUUAUGCAGGCCGAGUAUCCAGAACUGGAGAGCACCCUUUAAGACAUUGAAGAGGAAAUGCAAACAACUGAGGAAUUAGAGUCUGAAAUCUGGGUACAUGGUGUUCUUUUUACCAAAUAUCUGUCUAUACUUGGGUUACUUCCUUCUCUAUCCAAAACACCCACAGCAGAGGCGAAUCAAAUAUACAGCACGUUGAAGCUAAGCUCCUACAAUAUUCUAGAGACCCUGUGAGUCAUCACUGCCUGGAGGAAUGAGCACAAGACUGGGAGCUGAGAAGUCCUAGAUCCAUCACAUCACAUCUCUGCUUCACUUUCCCCAUUGGUAGAAUGAGCGAUACGAAUGAUUAAGUGACAGGGCUGUUGUGAAGCCUUCACUGUGGAUGUAGGACAUGCUUCCACUCAAUUAAAAAUCAGAUUUCCCAAGAAAAAAUGAAGCACCAUAAGCAGAAAAGUUUCCAACAGUACAAAAAACAUAAAGAAAAGGUUGAUUAGAAAGAUACAUGAAAAUGAGUUGAAGUGCAAGGAACAAGAUGGAGAAAGAGUGAGGGUCUGGCGGAGGAGACUAUUGGAAGUAAUCUCAACACUGCGUGUUUAGGUCCUGGAAGAAGCAAAACUGAAAACUGGUCAAUCCUGGGUAAGGUCACUUAAAGCUGAUGCAAUUGUUUUCAUGAAAGUUCACAUUCAAAUGUAGCAAUUGUAUAUGUGGCCAAAGUAUCUGCAUGCAUAUUCCUGAUGAGUUGGGCCACAAGGUUGAAUCCAUUUUAAAUGUAAAAUGCAGUGGAACAGUGAUUGAAAUGGCAUUGGGAUAUUGCCAAGCCACUAAUUGAUGUGAGAGUUGCAAGGAUUAGUCUCCUAGGUAGCAAGAAAGGUAUUGAUGGUUAUCUGUUUUUACACAAGAACGCAACACAGCUGAUAUAGAGGAUCAAACCAUAGUUUUUCUACCUCAUCUGGUAUCUGGCCUCUAGCAGUUGCCAGUAUCUUGUACUUCAGGAGAAGGCAAAAACAAAACAAAAAAAACAAACAAAAACCCUGUAAUAUAGUAGGCCAAUUUGUGAAAUGGGGAAAAUCCUUCUUGACUGCUAGUUUGUUACCCUGUCUAAUGAGAUGACUGUACCCAUCUUUUGAAUAAGAACAUAAGAAGGGCCAUACAGGGUCAGAGCAAAGGUCCAUCCAGCCCAGUAUCCUGUCUACCGACAGUGGUCAAUGCCAGGUGCCCCAGAGGGAAUGAACAGAACAAGUAAUCAUCAAGUGAUCCAUCCCCUAUACUAUAUGUACUUGCAUCACCUAAGUCUGAGCACAGCCCCACUCAGAGUUUUGCAAGCUGCAUUUAUGUGUAAGCAGAGUCAGGAUGAGCUCUACCCUGACAUCUGGUGGUGAAUUAUGGCGAGUGUGGAAAAGAACUCCAGGGGCUGAUCUUGUUUGCA
Molecule: long non-coding RNA, 1560 nt
Organism: Chrysemys picta bellii (western painted turtle)
Lineage: Eukaryota; Metazoa; Chordata; Testudines; Emydidae
Source: RefSeq, a predicted model, not a curated record